UUAGUCCCCACAGAAGAAAAAGAAAAGUGCUUCAAAUAGCACAUUAGAAUCUUUCACUGUUUAAUAUGAAAAAUAAUUAUCUAUGAUAUAGUUGAGAGUCUCACUCAUCACUUUUUCAGAGGAAGAUAGAGGAAGUUCAAAAUAAAGAUAUCAAUAGCUCACAUGUAUCAAUAGCACCCUCUCCCAGUCUCGAAAACAGUUCAACUUUGAAUCCGCAAUCAUAAAGCAUAUGGUGAAUAUUUAUCUGCUACAGAAAAUGAAAAAUACUCCUCCCUAUCCAGUAACUGAGCCAUACAAACAUGUAUGGUCUAUUCAAUUGGAUUAACAGAUUCAUCUUCUUUCUUACAAACUGUUUACAAACAAAUGCAUAAAAUUAUAUGUUAGCCUUAUAUAUAAAUAGCUAUAUUGCAAUUGCUAGCUCAGGAUAAUCAUUAAUGAUUAAACAAAUGUAGUAGAAAACAAAAAUCAAUUUUAGAGUUCCAAUAAGAAUAUAAAAAUAAUUUUAAUAAGGAACAUUGCUAAAAUAAAUUUAACUUCUUUGACAAAGGAUCUUUGUACAUUGAUCAGUGGGGUCCAUAUAUCUCUGUUUCACACAAACAAUCCUUUGAACNNNNNNNNNNNNAUUUGUCAAUGUAAAAAUGUAUACUAUUUAUAACUUAAGUACUAUAAUAUAGCUGUCUGUCAUUGUGAUGAGUUAUUAAUAGCAAGGGCAAAAGUUGUACUCACUGGGAAAUGCAAAGUUUUUUAAAUGGAGGGGUAGUAGGGGGGAUUUGUGGAUAUCUAAGGAGCACCUAUUAAAAGGCACAAUUGUAAAUUGCAUUACUAUUUUUCACAUAUCUGAAUCUGGACAUUUCUUUGCUGACAAAUGUUUUAAGAACCCUCCUAGAGACUCACUAGUUGACUUCAACAUGUACUUUCCAAGAUAAAAUAUGCAUUUAUUUUAUUUAUCUGAUUUAUUUACCUGACAUAUUUUCAACAUCAGAUUCAUUAUUAUGAUGAAUUUAGGGUUCAUGUUGAAAUCACAGUUUGCCCAUAGAGUCUUGAUAUGUGACAUAC
This 1056-nucleotide long non-coding RNA is filed under the name Capra hircus (goat). RNAcentral describes it as "lncRNA (ENSCHIG00010021206.1)". Lineage: Eukaryota; Metazoa; Chordata; Mammalia; Artiodactyla; Bovidae. The record is from RNAcentral.